UCCGUAGGUGAACCUGCGGAAGGAUCAUUACAGAAAUAGGAGAAGGUUGCUUAACUGCAAUCCUUUUCUUUCUACACAUGUGUUUUUCUUUUUUUUGAAAACUUUGCUUUGGUGGGCCCACGGCCUGCCAGAGAUUAAACUCAACCAAAUUUUUAUUUAAUUGUCAACUUGAUUAACUAAUAGUCAAAACUUUCAACAGCGGAUCUCUUGGUUCUCGCAUCGAUGAAGAACGCAGCGAAAUGCGAUAAGUAAUAUGAAUUGCAGAUAUUCGUGAAUCAUCGAAUCUUUGAACGCACAUUGCGCCCUUUGGUAUUCCAAAGGGCAUGCCUGUUUGAGCGUCAUUUCUCCCUCAAACCUUCGGGUUUGGUGUUGAGCGAUACGCUGGGUUUGCUUGAAAGAAGGGCGGAGUAUAAACUAAUGGAUAGGUUUUUUUUUCCACUCAUUGGUACAAACUCCAAACAUUCUUCCAAAUUCGACCUCAAAUCAGGUAGGACUACCCGCUGAACUUAAGCAUAUCAAUAAGCGGAGGA
Molecule: ribosomal RNA, 530 nt
Filed under: uncultured fungus
Lineage: Eukaryota; Fungi
Description: partial 18S ribosomal RNA
Rfam family: 5.8S ribosomal RNA (bases 188-341)
Source: RNAcentral